GGAUGUGAGGGCGAUCUGGCUGCGACAUCUGCCACCCCAUUGAUGCCAGGGUUGAUUCGGCUGAUCUGGCUGGCUAGGCGGGUGUCCCCUUCCUCCCUCACCGCUCCAUGUGCGUCCCUCCCGAAGCUGCGCGCUCAGUCGAAGAGGACGACCAUCCCCGAUAGAGGAGGACCAUUCUUCGGUCAAGGGUAUACGAGUAGCUGCGCUCCCCUGCUAGAACCUCCAAACAAGCUCUCAAGAACACUGGCAGUUGUAACCAAUGACGCCACGCGCACACACACACACACAUUUGCUUGCUUCUACACCUUCAACACAGC
RNAcentral lists this small nuclear RNA (317 nucleotides) under Castor canadensis (American beaver). Its description in RNAcentral is "7SK RNA (ENSCCNG00000020400.1)". It matches the Rfam family "7SK RNA". Rfam says of the family: 7SK was discovered as an abundant small nuclear RNA in the mid-70s but a possible function has only recently been suggested. Two independent studies have found that 7SK RNA binds the CDK9/cyclin T complex (known as elongation factor P-TEFb). P-TEFb activates transcription by phosphorylating the C-terminal domain of RNA polymerase II. Lineage: Eukaryota; Metazoa; Chordata; Mammalia; Rodentia; Castoridae. The record is from Rfam by way of RNAcentral.